UAGCGGAGGAGGAGGAGGAGGAGGAGGAGGAAGAGGAGGAGGAGGAGGAGGAGAGAGAGGCUUCAUGGGGAGGAGGAGACAGUCGGCACCAGCAGAUAAAGGGACCAAGGGCGUGGAUGGGACUCAUUAUCUGCCUCGAGGAUCAGCGUUGGAUGACAGGAUGCGGGCUGAGGUGUCCGGGGACCAAAUGCUGGACCUCCUCGAGAAGAUGGCCAAGUACCGCAUUGAUGACCAGAGAUGCUCGCUGCCACACCCCGUCCUCUACCAGUCUCAGCAGGGCGUGCGGGAGGGCCCAGGCAAACCGCCCCCCGACAAGGAGGAGCCGUCGGCCAAGGCAUCGAGUAGAGCCCGCCUGGAGAAGACCCUGGAGGGACCCCCGCCCUACAGACAGGUGGUGUUAGCGCCCCUCUCGAAGGACUACUGGGAUGAGACGCCGGCGGAGGGGGGUGGAGGGGAGCUGGACUGCACCACCACCACCACCACCUCCACCACCACCACCUCCUCCUCCAGCAACCACAGCAUCAACAACAACUCCGUCAGCAUCAACAACAACAACCUCAAUAACAACAACAACAACAAUAGCAACAAGUUUGAGACGGAUGAGUCGGCAACCUACUACAGACGAUUCUUCCUCGGCAAGGAGCACUGGAACUUCUACGGUGUCGACGCUGUGCAGGGCCCGGUGUUGGUGAGCCAGCGUCGGGAGGUGGUCGGCAGCCAAGAGCUUGUGCAUCUGCUGGUGAGGCUGGGCGACGGGCUGCACCACGCCUCCCUCCCCGCCGCCGGACAGGACCUCAGACCCGCCGCACUCGUCAAGCGCGUGAAGGAGCUAGCCGUGGAGAGGUUCAGCCCCGUGGUGUCCCCCGUGGCGCCCCAGCUCAUCGUGGCCUAUGACGAACACGCUCUCAAGCACCAGUUCAAGUUCGGCCUGAUCGUGCAGCGCUUCGGCCAGACGGUGGAGGAGCAGCUCUUCGCCAACAAGGGCAUGUCACCCGCCCUCGAGCAGUUCCUGAGUCUCAUGGGCCGCCGUGUGAAGCUGAGGGAGCAUGAGGGCUUCAAGGGCGGCCUGGACACCCAAUUCGGCCAGACGGGGGAGGAGAGUGUGUACGAGGUGUUCCGGGAGAAGGAGGUGAUGUUCCACGUGUCCACGCUGCUGCCCUACAAGGAGCAGGACCCGCAGCAGCUGGAGAGGAAGAGGCACAUCGGCAACGACAUGGUGGCGGUGGUCUUCCAGGAGGAGAACACGCCCUUCGCGCCCGACAUGGUGGCAUCGCACUUCCUGCACGCCUAUGUGGUGGUGAUGCCCAUUGACCCCUGCACGCCGAACACCAGGUAUAAGGUGAGCGUCACAGCGAGAAGAGACGUCCCCUUCUUUGGCCCCACGCUGCCAUCCUCCGCCACCUUCUCCCACGGGCCGCAGUUCAAGGAGUUUCUGCUCACCAAGCUCAUCAACGCCGAGAUGGCCUGUUACAAGGCUAGCCAGUUCGCCAAGCUGGAGGCUCGCACUCGCAGCUCCCUCCUCGCCGCUCUCGUUGAUGACCUACGCGCCAAGACCAACGAGUUCCUGGGUCAGGCCGAGGUUCCCGAGACGCCCAAGGUGGAAACGACAAGUAACAGGUUCAAGGAGAUCGUGGCGGGGCUGAUCGGGCGCAGCAGAAGCCAGGACGCCACCAACACACAGUCCGUCAAGAAGUCCGGAGUGACCGCCACGCCCUCAACCCUGCUGGCCACUACCCCCCUGAGUGUCCGCAGCAAGGGCAGCGGCGGCAGCAGUGAGGCACGGACGCCCCCCUCCAGUCCCGACACCACCCCCAACACCCACUUGGCACUGUCCGAGAGCGACGAUUCCUCCCUCAACUCGGACAUCGACAACCACCCACACCCUCUCAACGAGGACUCCGACACCGGCCUAGAGUCCAUGUCCUCCGCCGAGACACCCCAUAAUGUGGCGGUUGCGUGUCCCCUCUGUGGCGGGCAGGAGGAGGGCGCGGGCGGCUUCCAUGCCAACCCCGAGGCGGUCUUGAGGCAGGUGGAGGCGCUCAACCAGGAGAUCAACAAGCUCAAGUGUGACAAGCUGGACCUACUGCGGCAGAAUGUGACGUGCCAGCGUGAUAUCAAGAAACUCAAGGAAAAGGAGCUCAAGGUUGGGAGUGAGCUCAUGGCCGCCACCAAGGAGAUCACGAGGCUCCAGGGUCUGUUGAGUGAGUUCGGGACAGGCCAGGUGUCUACGGUGUGAGGGAAAGGGCGGGCCGGGUGUGGCUUGUUCGUCCCUUCCUCCCCGGGUGACCUUGUUGCGUGGAGCUGAGGUCAGGGUACUGCGUGUGUCGAGAGGUCAGAGAGGUGUGCGUGUCACCCUCCAGCACCUCUCCUUGUCCCUCUUCCUCCCUCUCCCCACGGUGAAUGGAACGGAACGGCUGUCGAUCAUGUCUAGUUAUGUGAUUUUUCCUCCUGUCUUUCAUCCUCAGUGCUCAGUGUCUUUCCAUGUCUCGCUAUGUUAUGUCCAAUGCUUCCGUUUCACUCUCUCAUGUAUCUGAUUUAGCCUCCGUCUUCUCCACACAGCCUCACUUGUAUCCUUUUUAGCUCACACCCUUCCCUUAGUCAUCUCCUCUUCACCUCCUCUAUUGAUCGACAUAAACGGUGUUGUGUGUGCGUCGCGUCACGAGGGAGAGGCCAGAGCGUGUUGUGUGCAUGUGUGUGUAUGAUUCGCUUGUCUGUCACCUCUUUCACACUGGCCAAAGAUGAUACCAAAGUGUGUAUAUAUAUGUUGCGGUACAGACCAGUGUGGCUGAGAGAGAGAAAACCUAUGUAAGUGAGGGUGACUAUUAUAAAAACCGUGAUGACCAAGUUGAUUGAGGAGACUUGUGGGACGGUGACAACUGUGAAUGCGAUUAUCUCCCUUCCCUCCCUUUCCUCCCCCUGUUUCCGAAAUCAAGGACCUGCGGCUGGUUUGAUUCCCCCGCCGCGAACAAAAAAGACAGUGUGCAGCAUUUAUCCUCUUGUUCAAAAAGAGAAAAUGAUGAAAAAAAUGUAGGUAUGCCCGUUACCUAAGUACUCCCUCGCCCCCUUCACGCCUUCCCUCCCCUCACCCAAGCCUCACCUCAUGUAACAAAAGGUGAGAUUUAUGUUGUCACCUUAUGUACAUUGAUUCUUAUUGUGCUUGUUUCCUGUCAAGAGACGCACACUACACUAUUACACACACACACACACGCACAUACACACAAGUACAAACACACAAACACACACACACAAACAGACAUACACACAAACACAUUUCCCAGCUUGUUAUACCAAAUAUGUAGUUUUAAGUUUGACUCGAGAGGAAUCCUGUGUCCUUCGCCAAGUUCAGUCAUUCCCAAAUUUGUAUGAUAUUCCUGCCUUACGAGUGUCCUAUCACCCGCAUCCUGUUCCCUGCAUCCUGUCGUCCAUCCUGUGAUUGUGCCGACGGAUAAAGGGCAGCACCGAGACCCAUUAAGUGUUGCAUAUAUUUACAGCAAAGUGGAGGAUCAUGGUUCUUCUUCUUCAUGCUCCGUUUUCUGUGGCAUUGAAGAAGAUGUGUGUUUCGAUGGAGGACUUGUUUGUACGUCAGUGUUCUCGAGGAGUUGUAUAUGUGUGUGUGUAUAGUUUUCUGUCAUGGGUCCAAACCACUAGGAACUCCUUUUGGGGGGUCUAGAAUGAGGAGGUCUUGUCACGGUGAGCUUUAAAAAUACCUUUGGAAAUAAGUAUAACCAACACAUUUCUCGUCAAGCGUAAGGAGCGUUUUCCACGUCAUUUAAAGGAACUUGCACUGUGACUCCAUUUUUGGGGGUCUAGAAUGAGGAGGUUUUGUCACGGUAAGCUUUAAAAAUACCUUUGGAAAUAUAUAACGCAAACUCGUCAAGCGUAAGGAGCGUUUUCCACAUCAUUUAAAGGAACUUGUACAGUGACUCCAUUUUAGGAGGUCUAGAAUGAGGAGGUCUUGUCUUGGUGAACUUUAAAAAUACCUUUGGAAAUAAGUAUAACCAACACAUUUCUCGUCAAGCGUAAGGAGCGUUUUCCACAUCAUUUAAAGGAACUUGUACUGACUCCAUUUUAGGAGGUCUAGAAUGAGGAGGUUUUGUCUUGGUGAGUUUUAAAAAUACCUUCGGAAAUGAGUGAUGCAAACUCGUCUAGCGUAAGGAGCAUUUUCCAAGUAAUUUAAAAGAACUUGUACUGUGACUCCAUUUUAGGAGGUCUAGAAUGAGGAGGUUUCGUCAUGGUAAGCAUUAAAAAUACCUUCGGAAAUGAGUGAUGCAAACUUGUCAAGCAUAAGUGAGGAGCGUUUUUCAAGUCAUAUAAAAGAACUUGUACUGUGACUCCAUUUUAGGGGGGUCUAGAAUGAGGUCUUGUCAUGGUGAGUUUUAAAAAUACCUUCGGAAAUAUAUAAACUUGCCAACCUGCAGUAUCUUCAAUGUCACUUAAAAGAACUUGAACGUAACUCCAUUCUUCAAGAUAUAGAAUGACGAGUGAGUUUUGUCUUGCCAAUCUCCUGAGACUUAAACAUAAUUUCCUCAUCAGUCGAAAAGUAGAAGUGUUUCCUCGGUUAUCUAAACGGAAGCAGUGAUCAAAAAAGUUAUAGAUUUCUUGAUGGCCAGAAAAGUUAAUCUCGUUACUUCAGGAUACAAGAAAGAAAAUCAUAAUGGCAACCUGAGAGAACGCAUCAUCUGUUUGCAUCUCAAGUGAAUAAACAAAUAAUAAUGAUAAUGCAGCAUAAUACUGAGGUGUGUGUGUGUGCGUGCGUGUGUGCAACCACUAGCAAGGAAGGUCUGAAUGGUGACUCUACUAGGCAUCUCUGUGGACCCGGAUUUACCUUUUUUAUUGUUGUCGUAAAAUACACGUUGACGGGAAGAAGUCGUCUGUUUGGUGGCAUUGAACAGAAUAAGAUACAGCUGUGCCGCCAAUUAAAUUCAGUCACGUAACCUUUAAUCUGCUUUUUAUAUAAUUGUUGAAGGUACGAGUUGACAGGAGAGAAAUUUGUCCGUAUCUGCAGAUGGAAAAAAAAUUUGUCGCUAUCUGCAAAUGGAAAAAAAAUGCCCCUGUCUGCAAAUGGACAGAAUGCAUAAUUUUUUUAAUGUCCCACCAAAUACAUACAAUCACCGACCUUUCGAUUAAUCUUUUGUAUUGCCAUCACUAAUACACGAUGGUAGAAAAAAAAGUUGUCUGUCUGAUACUGGAUGAAAAUAAAAAACAAAAAUCUGCUGAGUAAAUACAAUCAGCGAGCCUGUAAGUCAUCUUUUGUGUCAUUAUCAGUAACACAUUGCCAGAAAAAAAGUAUGCAACGGGACUGAAAAAGAUCAAGUUCUGCCACGUAAAUACAAUCACCUACCCUUUUUAUAUCAGUCAUUAAUACCAGUUGUCAGAAAAUGUUGUCUCUCUGCAAUGGGACUGAAAAAGAUAAGGUUCUGCCACGUAAAUACAAUCAACUACCCUUUUUAUAUCAGUCAGAAGUACCAGUUGUCAGAAAAAAAGUUGUCUCUCUCUACAACGGAACAGAAAAAGAAAGUUCUGCCACGUAAAUACAAUCAUCUACCCUUUUUAUAUCAGUCAUUAAUACCAGUUGUCAGAAAAAAAGUUGUCUCUCUCUACAACGGAACAGAAAAAGAUAAAGUUCAGCUACGUAAAUGCAAUCAAUCUACCCUUUUUAUAUCAGUCAUUAAUACCAGUUGUCAGAAAAAGUUUUGUCUCUCUCUACAACGAGACCGAAAAAUAAAGUUCUGCCACAUAAAUCUACCCUUCCAGGCAUCUUUAAACCUAGACGAACCUUUGAUAUGAUAACUUUUGUCCUUGUUAGCGCUAGUUGGCAGCAAAAUGUCUGUGUACUGCUGGACGGAAUACUUAAAACGCUGCCAAGUUGAAUAUAAUAAUCACCUUUCGCUACUCUUACAUUUCCCGAGAACUGCUCAGCAUACAUCUUGACUAUUUUUGUAGUUUGUGAAUACACGUACAUACCAAUCUUCUGAGUGCAUAAUUAUACACGUGCGUAGGUGGUUUUGAAACUAAUAUACAUGCGCCGGAUUUUUUAGACAUCGUAUUAGUAUUUGUUAAUGGUUACGUGGCUGUAGUUUGGCUUUUGAAUUCCAUUUUUCAGGCGGAGUUAGUUAGAAAUGUUGGAUUUUCACAAGGUUAAGUAAAGGAAAUCAACAAAACUAACUAAGUACGCCUUGAAAAGUGGUACAGAAAAGUCAAAUCAGCCACAUUAUUGUUACUGAAGACUAAUACGACUUUUAUAAUAUCAAGCGAUGCUCCCAACUACUCUAGAAUGAAACUGCUACUCAUGAAAUCCAGUCCGUACUUGCUCACAACUUACCCCUUGCUAACUUUGAAUGUAGGGCGUGCGGGUCAGCAGACAUUGCCACGCAGCGUACGUAUGCUAAACCAGCUUGACCCACCCGUCGCCGGUGUCAACUGCGGUAACUUAGGUGCUUAAUAGAUCAAACAUACGAGGGUGACCAGAUAGACGAGCUUCAAAUCACCUCGACUCUUCCUUACUAAUGGUCUGAACAGCUUGACACCCUUUGUUCCGAGUCCUGAUUUCCAUUGUAUUCGCCCGUUCGAGAAUCAAUGGUCUGAACAGCUUGACGACUUUGUUCUGAGUCCUGAUUUCCAUUGUAUUCGCCCGUUCGAGAAUCAAUGGUCUGAACAGCUUGACGACUUUGUUCAGAGUCCUGAUUUCCAUUGUAUUCACCCGUUCGAGAAUCAUUGCUCCUUUCGUACAUCCGUUGUUCAUUUGUCUCGAUUUGUGGAAUAAGUAACCCAUCGAUGUGGUCUUUUUGUGUGCUCCUAGGAUGCUGUUCCCUCGUUAGAUGGUAGGGUUGGAUAUGUUGUGUUCAAACCGAAGUCAGAUCAGAUAUAGUCGACUGGUCUAGUUGUGUUUGUUGUCAGUACUUCUGGAAUAUCUUACUGAUUUGCCGUGUUUUUCUUGAUUGCCGUCUCCCAGUUACUAUUAUGUGUUGUCGGUGAUUUUUUUUACAUUUCUACCUUUGAAUGUAUACCUGUAAUUGAUUUUGAUUGACUAAGAUUACAACUACCGUGAUCUUUGCUGGUGCCAAGAUCAUUUACUACAAAAAAAACGAGAAAUUUCAGUACGUAUAUACACAAAAAAAUAAGUGAUUGAGAGAUGGUCGAAGAAUUGGAAGGCAUGCAGUGAUCCUCUUUUGUUUUUUUGUGACUUGACUGACAGAUGUGCAUACCAUGGAAUGUACCGGUCAGGUCAGGUCAGGUCAGGGGAAGAGUGACCUUUACUGAGCUUUACUAAGUGGUAGGUCAGGUCAUCAGAGAAAAUAAAACGAUACCAGGUGUGAAAAAAAAGAUUGAAUGUGUCUUCUGAUUCAAACACUAUUAGGAAAGAAUGAAAAC
Eriocheir sinensis (Chinese mitten crab) is the source of this 7371-nucleotide RNA transcript. It is a transcript of the gene named rap1 GTPase-activating protein 1-like, with no coding region annotated. The record is from RefSeq and is a predicted model, not a curated record. The transcript has 13 exons. NCBI's taxonomy places the organism in Eukaryota, Metazoa, Arthropoda, Malacostraca, Decapoda, Varunidae.